CGGUUUGCGGCAACCGUGGGCACUGCUGAAUUUGAAUUGAGGGGCGAGGGAAAAGUUUUCCUCAGGUGUGGUGGGGAGAGGGAGGCGGAUGCCGGGAAACCGUAGGGACGCGGUCAGAAAGGCGACGGGCUGUCGGAGUUGGAAAGGUAAAGUUGGAGGCUCGGCGGCGUCCUGCCUCCGCGCUGGCCACACCCGCCGCGGCUGCCCGGGGCAGGGAGGGAUCUGGCUGAUUCUCCCUGUACCCUGUGCCCUCGGAGCUGCCCCUCCGAGCGCCCAGAGGUCCCCGCCUGCCUGCUUCCUGGAGGCAGGGCUACCAUCAGUCCCACGCCUCGCGUGUCCGCCCCCCGCACCCCGGGGCCAAGGAAAGGGAUCGCGGUCUGGACUCCCCGGGGAGUUCCCUUGAUGAGGGGAAGGGCAGGUUUGGGGACGGCGAGGACACGCGGCGACCGGAGAGAGGCUACCUGACCCGCGCAGCCCGGACUCCCUUCCCUUCCCUUCCAGGGACGCCUGGUUUCCCCCCAAGCGAACCGGGAUGGGAAGUGACUUCAAUGAGAUUGAACUUCAGCUGGAUUGAAAGAGAGGCUAGAAGUUCCGCUUGCCAGCAGCCUCCUUAGUAGAGCGGAAUGAGUAAUACCCACACGGUGCUUGUCUCACUUCCCCAUCCGCACCCGGCCCUCACCUGCUGUCACCUCGGCCUCCCACACCCGGUCCGCGCUCCCCGCCCUCUUCCUCGCGUAGAACCGUGGGAUCCUAGGUGGCAGGACUCAGAGCUAAGGUAUCCACAGGCCAUGAAUUCCUUCCUAAAUGAGCGGUCAUCGCCGUGCAGGACCUUAAGGCAAGAAGCAUCGGCUGACAGAUGUGAUCUCUGAACCUGAUAGAUUGCUGAUUUUAUCUUAUUUUAUCCUUGACUUGGUACAAGUUUUGGGAUUUCUGAAAAGACCAUACAGAUAACCACAAAUAUCAAGAAAGUCGUCUUCAGUAUUAAGUAGAAUUUAGAUUUAGGUUUCCUUCCUGCUUCCCACCUCCUUCGAAUAAGGAAACGUCUUUGGGACCAACUUUAUGGAAUAAAUAAGCUGAGCUGUAUUUCAAGUAAUAUAGUUAUAAAUUAACAAUGUAGCAGUUAUUGAUAGAGAAAUUGAGAAAACUGAAACGUGACCGGAGUAUUGGAAAUAACGUAGUACAUCACCUAGCACAAUGACACAUAGUAGGUGCUCAAUAAAUUUAUGCUUAUAAUUUUUGUCACUUCUAUGGCAGGAUUUUUUUAUUAGGUUAAAAUUAUCUUUUAAACACCUUCCGGAAUUUUAGAAUAUUCAUUAAUAAUGUCUUCAAACCUUUCAACUGAAAUAAAUUUACAGCUGAAGUCUGAUGAUUUAAAGUUAGAAAGUUUAAUCUUGAAUAUAAAUGAACAUUUUCUCUCCCACAUUUUCUUGGGCAUUUUGAGAAGUAAAUGCGUUAUUUAUUGGUCCAUGAAAUGUGACUGUAAAUAUUCUUUGCUAUACAUUAUGUCUAUAUAUCUGCAUUCAUCCUCAAUGCCAAAACUAGAAUCAUUAGUCUUAAUGAUCAUUUUAAGUACAGGCAGUCCUCGCUUUCCUUGAUACCAUGUUAACCGAAACUUGUGUAUGUCAACACGGUGUCCUUGCUUUGCUUGGUUAAGUGUGAGUUCUUCCUCCCUUUUUUUAAGAGUUGUACAAUGUUUUUCAGUCGCCUACCGAAUCAGGUCAUAGACUAUGGAAUUGACCCCACCCCACCAACAUUUUUACAGCUACCCUGAUUUCUGACCAGAAAGGAAAAAAAAACUUUCCAGCUCUAUCACACAUUUUACCUACUCUUAAACUUAGGAGGUAUUACAAAUAGCAUUUUCUCAUGUUCUCUUUCUGGCCUGUACCUCCCUGCUAAGCUUCCUUCAGUGUUCAUCCUCACCUCAUAGAGAGAUGAAGUGAAGAGACAAACAGAAGUCAUUUUCUUCCUUACUUUAGUGGUUUCUGGUUUAGUUAGUUUGGGCCAAACUGUGGACAAGUACCUUUUCAGGUAACUUUUUUUUCUUAUUUCUAUGUCCUCAACACCUAGUGGAGUACGUAGCCAAUAGUAGAUGCUUAAUAAACAUUUCUUAAAUUAAUAUUGUUGACCUUUUCUGACCCUGUUCUUGACAGUAAGGUACAUAAUCUGCCUUCAUCCCUUUAGUCCUUAGGAACAGAUAAAGUCAUGGAUAUGAAAGUGAUCACUGUCAUUAAUAUCCACAUUAAAAUUGCUCUUGAUUUUAGUUUCUCCAUAAUCAUUUUCCCUAAACAAUGAACUCUGUUCACCUUUUUUUUUAAAAUAUGCACAGUGAAUAUUACUGGUAGCCCAAAUCUUCUAACAUAAAAUUUCCAUUUUGUAAAAGCUUCUGAUAAGCAUAUAUGUUAUGAAUUGAAUGUUUGAUUAUUAUACUUUAAUAUUCUUGAAAAUAUUGAUACCUGGACUGGAAAGAAAACAGACAAAAGUAAAUCUCAGAAUAAAUUACUGCUUUAAACAUGAUG
RNAcentral lists this long non-coding RNA (2516 nucleotides) under Homo sapiens (human). Its description in RNAcentral is "non-protein coding ZEB1-AS1:8". Lineage: Eukaryota; Metazoa; Chordata; Mammalia; Primates; Hominidae. The record is from RNAcentral.